This 3588-nucleotide small RNA is filed under the name Pan troglodytes (chimpanzee). RNAcentral describes it as "retained intron". The record is from RNAcentral. Lineage: Eukaryota; Metazoa; Chordata; Mammalia; Primates; Hominidae.
AUGUGUUGUGUAUCCUCCUGCUUUACCUUCUACCGUGAGUCAAAGCCCCCUGAGGCUUCCCCAGAAGCAGAUGCUGGAGCUAUGUUUCCUGUACAGCCUGCAGAACUGCAGAUGGAGUUAUUGCCAUGGUGUUAGGACAAGCUGAUUGUGUUAAAGCAUGUGACACACCUAAUUUCAGAAACCAGAGGGGAAAUCGCCGCUCAUUAAAGUUCAAGGAACAUAUCCUGGAGGCUUAGUGAAACCAGCUCUCUCUUCCCAUCAAAUGAGAAGGCUCUGUGUCUUCAAAUGAAAGCCAAGAAAGCACACCCCAGAGUCGAAUACAACAAAACAUCAGGCAAUGCCUUUGAAGAGCAAUUUUCUUUGCCAACCAAGGUUCGGGGAUCGCCUCUAGCUUCCCAGGACAACCAGCCACGGAUCCUGUGGGCAGGAGGGCUGCCAAGGCCCAGUUGGAGGCUCAAUUUAUGGCGGCCCAGGGGAAGAAGCAUGCAGGUAAAUACAGACCAAGGGGACCCGGAAGAAGGUGCACGCCCAAGAGGACGGUCUGUCUGCUUUCUGCGCUGGGGGCACAGGGGCAGCCCGAGGCCCCAGGCCCCUUCGUGGCUCUGGAGUCCAUUGUGUACGUGCUAAGAUGCGCCAGGUUUUCAAAGCAGGCUCAAGGGCCUUAGGCUUCCCGUGGGAGGCUCCCCCUCAUAGCAGGGUUACAGAUGCUCUCAGAGCAGCUCUUCUCCAUGGGUGCAGUCCUGACAUCCAAGGGGUCUGAACUGUAGUACGUUGUUUACUGGAACCUGAACCCGAAGGGCUUCCAAAAGUCCCUCGAUAAAAUGGUCAGGAACCGGUGAUUCCAUGUAUAGCUCUGCUUUAAAGCUUUAAUUGGCAGAGAGCCCCCCCCCAAAAAAAAGUCUACAACUAGUACAUUUCUCCACAAAAAAUGUCCACAGCAGCAUCUUCCUCUAAAAAAGGUUUGUCUUUUACAUUUUAAUGCAGGAAAGGAUCCAGUCCGUGAUGAAUGUGAGGAAAGAAACCGUUUUACAGAAACAAGGGAGGAAGAUGUAACUGAUGAGCAUGGGGAAAGAGAACCUUUUGCUGAAACAGAUGAACACAGGGGGGCUAAUACCAAGAAGCCAGAAGAUACUGCAGGUAUGUUUUAGGAGUUAUCUGUAGUUUAUGAAUUGUUUUCAGUCAUACAACUGUUGCAGUAGGUUAUAUGAAUUAGUGGACGACAAGACUGUCUUAAAUGGCUUCUCAUAUGUAGCAUUUAACAUACGUAUUUAAUGUAAUCUAUUUGAUAAAUUUUUCUUACCUUUUUGAUUGUUGAUGUGGAAUGUGAGAAUGCUUCUAAUAAUGGUGAAGCGAGAUGGAUGGCUUUUCUUUCAUACAUGUGGAAAUAUAAUUGUUUGGAGGAUAUUAGAGGACAUUGGAGGAGAAACAGCUCUAUUCGUUCCUUUUAGUAUACACAGAUUAAGUCAUAUAUCAAUGGUUUUUUUUUAGCUUUUACUUUAAGUUUGGGGGUACAUGUCCAGGUUUGUUAUAUAGAUAAAUUGCAUGUCACAGGGUUUGGUAUACAGAUUAUUUUGUCACCCAGUUUAUAAGCAUAGUACCUGAUGGGUGGUUUUCGAUCCUCACCCUCCUCCUACCCUCCACCCUCAAGUAGGCCCAGUUGUCUGUUGUUCCUCUCUUCCUGUCCGUCUGUACUCAGAGUUUUUAAUAUGAGUUUUUCAUGUUCCUAAUUUAGCUGUUCUAUUGUCACAGCUUUCUGAUUUUGUUUUCUUUAAAGUACAAGAGAAAAUUGAAUUUUCUAAAAUCAUUUUCUAUUAUUAUUCCAGUAAUAAACUGUGUAGUAGAAAAGUAAGGACAACUUUUCUACCUAGUGAGAAACAUGUAAUUGGAUCCAAAAACUCAUAAACUUUAUAUUGCUGUGUGAAAUAUUAGUUACACUGUUAUAGGACCAUAUUUUCAAAAAAGUUUGAGAAAAUUUCUGUAGAGAUGAUGGAGACAAUACUCUUAUUUUUAAAAAGCUCAAUUCAGUUUUCAGCUCUUCUCUAGCGAUGAUUCAUACAAGCAGUAUAUUUGGAAAGCUUGGUGACAAAGUGCUGGUUUUGUGAGCUGCCUAAUACAUUGGGCGUUAUAGAUGGAGACUGUAUGUAAAAAAUAUUUGCAUUGCGGUACAAAUCUUUUAUGAUUGCUGAAAAUUAUUCUUAGCAAUUGAUGGUAGAGCUCUGAUGUGAAAUCAUGUUUAGGAAAGCAUUCCUUGCAGUAUUACAGUUUUCUGAAACACAGCACUAUGGGUACAAAUGUCAUAUAAAAAGCUCCAAGAAAACAUUUCAAAAGUGUUUUUGAAUGUAUUUCUUUACCUAAACCUAAAAUUUUAUACUCAUGGCCAUUGCUUCUUUUAUUAAAAUACAAUUAAUAGCAUCAAUCACUAGAUUGCUUAAAAAUGUUUUUCUUAUUGUGCAUUAAGUUAUUUCUACCCUUUUGAGGGUUUUAUUAUAUAAGAUACUUUUUUGUGUGCUUUACAUAAUGAAUUGUGCAGUAUUUCAUGGAAGCAUCUCCUUUGAAUUGUAGGACAUUUUAUAAAUGUAGAAAUUAAAGUCUGUGCUUAUAACUCUUUCUGCACAUUUAAAAAAUAGAGACUUUUAAUUAUUUGCUUUUUUUCAUCAUCUGUCAAUUAAGUGAUUUUCAGUUAUACCAACUGGAAUUGAAAUGCGAAUGUUAAUACCUGAAAGGUUUUACAGAAAAUAAGUGAGUAAAUCUUGCUUUUUGAAAUGAUCUUUGAAUUUUAUAUUUUAAAUAUCCUUCUGAAAUUGCUGAACCAUAAAGUCCCAUAUUGAUGUCAGUAUAUGCAAAGAAACUACUUUUCAACAUUAACUUUUAAUCCAUUUUCAUUUACUAUCUAACUGACAUUAAAGAGGAUCUUACUGCAAAAAGAAAAAGGAUGAAAAUGGAUAAAGCUUGCAGCAAAAUAAAGAACAAAAGUAAACAUGCUUUGAGAAAAAAAGAACUUAAAAGGCAGAACGUGAUUAUAUACAUUCUCUGAAGUUGCUAAAUGUCCUUGAAGAAUACAUCAGAGACGAGCAGAAAGAGGAAGAAGAAGAAGAGGGAGAAGAGGAAGAACUAAUUAGAAUAUUUCAAGAACAACAGAAGAGGUGGCAACAAUAUAGAAGUGUUAGGAGAGAGAGGCUGAAAGAGAUGAAGCUGCUACGUGACCAAUUCGUAAAGGCUCUUGAGGACUUUGAAGACCUUUGUGACAGAGUUUUUUCCGAUGAAGACAGUGAACUUGAUAACUAGACAUGUUUUUAAAUAAAAUCAUGUCAGAACUCUUUUGGAAAAGUUGGCACUUACCCAGUUGUCUCUUCAACCUCUGUUAUUCUGAUGACUGAAGAAAGAACUUGAACCUAUGUUAUAUGAUACAAGCACAACUUGAGCUACAGUAAACUACAUGACAGUGUUUUGAUAAUUCUUGUAUAAAUUCAUAUAGCUCCUCUGUCAUUUGUCUGUUAAAUGCCAGACCUCGUUUCUAUGAUCUGUUGAAUGAAUCCUAGACACUUCUGUGAGAAAGCAGGGAUUGCAUAGUUAUGUACACGUCAACUA